AGCGAACGCUGGCGGCAGGCCUAACACAUGCAAGUCGAACGGAUCCUUCGGGAUUAGUGGCGGACGGGUGAGUAACACGUGGGAACGUGCCCUUUGGUUCGGAACAACUCAGGGAAACUCGAGCUAAUACCGGAUGUGCCCUUCGGGGGAAAGAUUUAUCGCCAUUGGAGCGGCCCGCGUCUGAUUAGCUAGUUGGUGAGGUAACGGCCCACCAAGGCGACGAUCAGUAGCUGGUCUGAGAGGAUGAUCAGCCACACUGGGACUGAGACACGGCCCAGACUCCUACGGGAGGCAGCAGUGGGGAAUCUUGCGCAAUGGGCGAAAGCCUGACGCAGCCAUGCCGCGUGAAUGAUGAAGGUCUUAGGAUUGUAAAAUUCUUUCAGCGGGGACGAUAAUGACGGUACCCGCAGAAGAAGCUCCGACUAACUUCGUG
This 433-nucleotide ribosomal RNA is filed under the name uncultured bacterium. RNAcentral describes it as "partial 16S ribosomal RNA". It matches the Rfam family "Bacterial small subunit ribosomal RNA", at positions 29 to 507 of the family's 1533-position model. The record is from RNAcentral.